Molecule: non-coding RNA, 3210 nt
Organism: Anas platyrhynchos (mallard)
Lineage: Eukaryota; Metazoa; Chordata; Aves; Anseriformes; Anatidae
Source: RefSeq, a predicted model, not a curated record
UUCCCUGCACAUUGGCUCACAAGGACACCUUCAUCUGGUCCUAGCAAGGCUGCAGGCCCAUGAAUCACCUCUCACCACACCCAGGCAGCUGAGGCCUUCGCUUGUGAGGCUCCCACACGCAUCUAUCUCACCAGGCUGCUCACGCUGCCCCUUUCCCACUAGUUACAAACUCCUGUGACAUUGGCUGUAAAAGCAAGCAGAUGAUAUCACUCUUGCUCCAAUUUGUGUGGCAACGCUCGUGUCCUGUCACAUGGACCUGGACAGCUGACAGAUGGACUGAUUAGAGACCACACUAUUCAUGGUAAGGCGGAUAACAAGGCCAAAGCAAGGUCACUGUGAAAAAUGGAUUUGACUUGGCAAAGCACAGGGGGUAUUUCUAAGGCUGGGGACAGCCGUGCUUCCUAAAUGAAAGCAUCAGCACAGAUGCAAAAAAAGUAGCAGCUUCCAAAUUAAAAGGCCUAAAGACGGACUGCAAGGAUAAGGAAGCAGCAGAGACAAGAUGUGUUUAAGACAACAGCCGUACCAUCGGUGUGCUGUUCUGUAUGCAAUGGAAACAGACAGUUUCUGAGAGAUGCAAAUUGUAUGAAGUUAAAAAUUAACUGUAGUCAUCUGCACACGAUGGGAAGAUGAACCCUCAAUCAUGUACUAAGAAAAGGUUUUCUCUUUGUUCCAUAAUAAAUGCAGGACUGGCUUCACAGACUUAAAACAGUGGAAAGAAAAGGCACCCUGAGUGUAUUUCCUGACAGAUAAUGCAACCCAGACAGUGGUGCCAGUAUCAAUAGAGCAGUGAUUACUAGUACUUAAAGGUUUUUUCCUGCUUCUCUAACACUUAAGUGGGAGCAACUACCAAGUAUGCUUACAAAGAGACAGAGAGCCUUUCAGAGCCUCGAACAGUGGGCUGAAGGACCUAAAUAUGCAUCUGGGUCAAGUGUAGAUGAAUGCAGCUGACCAAAGAGCUCCCUAACUCGCUGAGCACAAGGUGAGGCAUUCUUAACAAAGUAUUUGAUGGCUUAGGCUGCAUAAGGUUAGAGAAGAGCUUAUUAUCUCCGAUCCAAGGACGCCCCUGAAAAAUAACUGUGAUGAAUUCUCACCAAAACAGAAAUAAAGCAGAAGUUGAAUUUGUACAGAGGUUAGCACUUGAUUUAUUGAACUAUUCAAAAGUCAACCAACAAGACUAAAAACCUGCUCCAUAUUACAAAGACAACCAAGGCAAAGCUUUGUUUAGCUCCAAACAAUAUAGUCUUUGGUUAUACAAGUCUGCCUGCACCUGAUAUAAAACACUCCCAAGGCCUUGGCCGAGCACAUACCUUCCUGGCAGACCACUUCAAAGCCCCAGGCAGCUUCGGCAAAACCCUGAGACUUGGCUGCCACACGAUGAAGGCCACAGAAGACCAGCAAACUGGGAGACAUCACUAAGAGGCUGAGAUAAGAAGUCUUAAAAGUAGAAGCAUAAAAACACACACUAGGUUUCUCAUGGGGUAACAAAACACCUACCCACAGUUCAGUUUGCUCAGAUCUAGUAUCCGAGUUGCAAGUACUAUUUUUCCCCUAUGACUUGGGUACUCACACGUCCUUCUUUCCACAUGGAUUUUUUGUUUCAUAAACAAGCAUAGGGUUACCAGUGAAGGCAUUUAAGCUAUUCUUACUCUUCUACCUGGUUGCACAUCUCUAUGGAAUCAUUUCUGUAGGAUUUAUUGUUCAGCAUAACCUGGCUGAAUUCAACCAACAAUUAUAGAAGUUAUGGGGAUGGCUGGACAAACUACCCCAUAGACUCAAUUUCUAGAAGCAAACAACAAUUUGGAAGAGUAUUCCAAGGACAGGGAGUCACCGUGCUCCUACUGAAUAGGUUUCUAGGGUGUCAAUCCCUCCCCAAGUCACCUGGGUGUUAUUACAAAAUAGCUAAUUAAGACCACACCCUGAGAUCCAAACGAGUACGAGGAGUGCUGAUGAGUAACAACGAGUUACACAAGGGCUGUCAGCCUCCUGUAGCUGGGAACUUGCUUGCUGUAGAAGAAAAGUAUGUGUUGAAAUAAUCUCACACGAGCACUGCAGUGGUGGAGGAGCACAGAGAGAGGCAGUGAAGGGCUCGCUCCCCUUCUGACUGUGGGCUUGACAGCUCCUUAAGCCCUAGCAAAGCAAAGGUUAAAUGACCCUUUUCCCUCUUCAGGUCACUGAGAGAUGCUCUGUCAAAGUGGGCUUGAUCCUGACUCACGUGAUGGAAACGGGCAAUCUGCACGGAAUGGCUGAAGGAGCGUGGCUCAUCCCAAGGCUUCGUAAUCAGCCCAGAACAGAGUGCUCACCCCUUCCUUUCCCUAAUGACUAGCAGCCCAGCAUCUUUUCCGAGAGAAAGUGUGGCCCUUCAUGAAGGCCUGUGGUCUGAUUCACUGAGCUGAAGGCAGCACAGUGCACAGAAGGGCUUAUGAUAAGGCAUGCUCUGAAUUUAUGACCCUCAUUUCAAAACCUACGUAUGCCUGAGCACUACCAGGCACGCAGCCAGGGGAGCAGGUGUGACACACGUGCUGGGGAACACACUGGAUCCUUGGGAGGUGCCGUAAGAUGCGGGGCCUCAGCUGGAGACCUCGAAUUUGCAAUUAGCCAGCAGCCUGCCACCAGCACGCCCUCUCCGGGGGCUGUGUGAUGUUCCCUUAUGUUGGGAGUUGCUCUCGUUACACGUGCAGCUCUUCAGCUCUGAUAGACCCACCCCUGGCUGCCCAAAUGGGCAAGACUCCCUGAUAGCUUAUGCCUCAGACACUGGCCACUGCUGGACUUAUCUAACCACAGGCUGCAGUUUUAUUUUUUGGAAAAAAAAUGGCAGAAAGACAAAGGGAAGUGUAGGUGUCGUGAUUCUGCCAUCACAGGGAAACUUCCUUAUGCAUGAAACAGAAAAAGAGGAGGUGUUAAACUCCAGUGUGGUUGGACAAUCUUGCACUAAGGGCUCAGCAAGCCCAGCAUCCUCUGGAUAGCCACAGUUAGCCCAGCACCUCCAAAACAGGCUGUGUGUGGUGGGAAUGGGGUGAUUUACCAGGCUGGACCCGGUCAGCAGGUCAGACAGGUCCUGGCUGUACUGGUCCUACUGUGUGCAUGCUGCAAGGCUGGAAAGCAAGCUGGCUACAGCCAUCAGCUCAGCAUCUCUGCACACCCAGCAGAGCCCCCUGGCUGCUAGCAAGGCUGUCUGGUCACUGUAUUUGGGGCUCCUCCGUCCAAAUCCAA